AGUGAACGCUGGCGGUAGGCCUAACACAUGCAAGUCGAACGGCAGCACAGUAAGAGCUUGCUCUUACGGGUGGCGAGUGGCGGACGGGUGAGGAAUACAUCGGAAUCUACUUUUUCGUGGGGGAUAACGUAGGGAAACUUACGCUAAUACCGCAUACGACCUACGGGUGAAAGCAGGGGAUCUUCGGACCUUGCGCGAUUGAAUGAGCCGAUGUCGGAUUAGCUAGUUGGCGGGGUAAAGGCCCACCAAGGCGACGAUCCGUGGCUGGUCUGAGAGGAUGAUCAGCCACACUGGAACUGAGACACGGUCCAGACGCCUACGGGAGGCAGCAGUGGGGAAUAUUGGACAAUGGGCGCAAGCCUGAUCCAGCCAUACCGCGUGGGUGAAGAAGGCCUUCGGGUUGUAAAGCCCUUUUGUUGGGAAAGAAAAGCAGCAGGUUAAUACCCCGCUGUUCUGACGGUACCCAAAGAAUAAGCACCGGCUAACUUCGU
This 491-nucleotide ribosomal RNA is filed under the name uncultured bacterium. RNAcentral's name for it is "partial 16S ribosomal RNA". It matches the Rfam family "Bacterial small subunit ribosomal RNA", at positions 29 to 506 of the family's 1533-position model. The record is from RNAcentral.